AUCUAUGGCCAUACCACCCUGAAUGCGCCCGAUCUCGUCGGAUCUUGGAAGCUAAGCAGGGUCAGACCUGGUUAGUACUUGGGUGAGAGACUGCCUGGGAAUACCAGGUGCUAUAGGCU
RNAcentral lists this ribosomal RNA (119 nucleotides) under Saimiri boliviensis boliviensis (Bolivian squirrel monkey). The record is from RNAcentral. Lineage: Eukaryota; Metazoa; Chordata; Mammalia; Primates; Cebidae.